UUUCCCUGGACCCUCGAGGUCCCUGAAGAGCCCUCGAAGACUACGAGGUUGAUAGGCUGGGUGUGGAAGUUCAGUAAUGGAUGAAGCUAACCAGUACUAAUUGCUCGUGAGGCUUGGCCAU
Molecule: ribosomal RNA, 121 nt
Filed under: Gammaproteobacteria bacterium
Lineage: Bacteria; Pseudomonadati; Pseudomonadota; Gammaproteobacteria
Description: partial 23S ribosomal RNA
Rfam family: Bacterial large subunit ribosomal RNA
Source: RNAcentral